AGAGUUUGAUCCUGGCUCAGGACGAACGCUGGCGGCGUGCCUAAUACAUGCAAGUCGAGCGAGCGGAACUAACAGAUUUACUUCGGUAAUGACGUUAGGAAAGCGAGCGGCGGAUGGGUGAGUAACACGUGGGGAACCUGCCCCAUAGUCUGGGAUACCACUUGGAAACAGGUGCUAAUACCGGAUAAGAAAGCAGAUCGCAUGAUCAGCUUUUAAAAGGCGGCGUAAGCUGUCGCUAUGGGAUGGCCCCGCGGUGCAUUAGCUAGUUGGUAAGGUAAAGGCUYACCAAGGCGAUGAUGCAUAGCCGAGUUGAGAGACUGAUCGGCCACAUUGGGACUGAGACACGGCCCAAACUCCUACGGGAGGCAGCAGUAGGGAAUCUUCCACAAUGGACGCAAGUCUGAUGGAGCAACGCCGCGUGAGUGAAGAAGGUUUUCGGAUCGUAAAGCUCUGUUGUUGGUGAAGAAGGAUAGAGGUAGUAACUGGCCUUUAUUUGACGGUAAUCAACCAGAAAGUCACGGCUAACUACGUGCCAGCAGCCGCGGUAAUACGUAGGUGGCAAGCGUUGUCCGGAUUUAUUGGGCGUAAAGCGAGCGCAGGCGGAAGAAUAAGUCUGAUGUGAAAGCCCUCGGCUUAACCGAGGAACUGCAUCGGAAACUGUUUUUCUUGAGUGCAGAAGAGGAGAGUGGAACUCCAUGUGUAGCGGUGGAAUGCGUAGAUAUAUGGAAGAACACCAGUGGCGAAGGCGGCUCUCUGGUCUGCAACUGACGCUGAGGCUCGAAAGCAUGGGUAGCGAACAGGAUUAGAUACCCUGGUAGUCCAUGCCGUAAACGAUGAGUGCUAAGUGUUGGGAGGUUUCCGCCUCUCAGUGCUGCAGCUAACGCAUUAAGCACUCCGCCUGGGGAGUACGACCGCAAGGUUGAAACUCAAAGGAAUUGACGGGGGCCCGCACAAGCGGUGGAGCAUGUGGUUUAAUUCGAAGCAACGCGAAGAACCUUACCAGGUCUUGACAUCUAGUGCCAUUUGUAGAGAUACAAAGUUCCCUUCGGGGACGCUAAGACAGGUGGUGCAUGGCUGUCGUCAGCUCGUGUCGUGAGAUGUUGGGUUAAGUCCCGCAACGAGCGCAACCCUUGUUAUUAGUUGCCAGCAUUAAGUUGGGCACUCUAAUGAGACUGCCGGUGACAAACCGGAGGAAGGUGGGGAUGACGUCAAGUCAUCAUGCCCCUUAUGACCUGGGCUACACACGUGCUACAAUGGGCAGUACAACGAGAAGCGAGCCUGCGAAGGCAAGCGAAUCUCUGAAAGCUGUUCUCAGUUCGGACUGCAGUCUGCAACUCGACUGCACGAAGCUGGAAUCGCUAGUAAUCGCGGAUCAGCACGCCGCGGUGAAUACGUUCCCGGGCCUUGUACACACCGCCCGUCACACCAUGGGAGUCUGCAAUGCCCAAAGCCGGUGGCCUAACCUUCGGGAAGGAGCCGUCUAAGGCAGGGCAGAUGACUGGGGUGAAGUCGUAACAAGGUAGCCGU
Molecule: ribosomal RNA, 1527 nt
Filed under: Lactobacillus crispatus
Lineage: Bacteria; Bacillati; Bacillota; Bacilli; Lactobacillales; Lactobacillaceae
Description: bacterial SSU rRNA
Rfam family: Bacterial small subunit ribosomal RNA
Source: RNAcentral